AAAAAGAAGCAGCUUGCUGCUUCCCUGACGAGUGGAGGACGGGUGAGUAAUGUCUGGGAAACUGCCUGAUGGAGGGGGAUAUCCACUGGAAACGGUAGCUAAUACCGCAUAACGUCGCAAGACCAAAGAGGGGGACCUUCGGGCCUCUUGCCAUCGGAUGUGCCCAGAUGGGAUUAGCUAGUAGGUGGGGUAACGGCUCACCUAGGCGACGAUCCCUAGCUGGUCUGAGAGGAUGACCAGCCACACUGGAACUGAGACACGGUCCAGACUCCUACGGGAGGCAGCAGUGGGGAAUAUUGCACAAUGGGCGCAAGCCUGAUGCAGCCAUGCCGCGUGUAUGAAGAAGGCCUUCGGGUUGUAAAGUACUUUCAGCGGGGAGGAAGGGAGUAAAGUUAAUACCUUUGCUCAUUGACGUUACCCGCAGAAGAAGCACCGGCUAACUCCGUGCCAGCAACCGCGGUAAUACGGAAGGGUGCAAGCCGUUAAUCGGAAUUACUGGG
This 500-nucleotide ribosomal RNA is filed under the name uncultured bacterium. Its description in RNAcentral is "bacterial SSU rRNA". It matches the Rfam family "Bacterial small subunit ribosomal RNA", at positions 70 to 558 of the family's 1533-position model. The record is from RNAcentral.